Molecule: ribosomal RNA, 200 nt
Filed under: uncultured bacterium
Lineage: Bacteria
Description: partial 16S ribosomal RNA
Rfam family: Bacterial small subunit ribosomal RNA
Source: RNAcentral
AGCGAACGCUGGCGGCAGGCUUAACACAUGCAAGUCGAACGGGCACUUCGGUGCUAGUGGCAGACGGGUGAGUAACACGUGGGAACGUACCUUUCGGUUCGGAAUAAUUCAGGGAAACUUGGACUAAUACCGGAUACGCCCUUCGGGGGAAAGAUUUAUCGCCGAUAGAUCGGCCCGCGUCUGAUUAGCUAGUUGGUGAG